RNAcentral lists this long non-coding RNA (927 nucleotides) under Rattus norvegicus (Norway rat). Its description in RNAcentral is "long non-coding RNA NONRATT022287". The record is from RNAcentral. Lineage: Eukaryota; Metazoa; Chordata; Mammalia; Rodentia; Muridae.
AGCAGGAGCACUCCCUCACAGCAGGAACACCUCACUCACAGCAGGAGCACUCCCUCACAGCAGGAGCACUCCCUCACAGCAGGAGCACCUCACUCACAGCAGGAGCACUCACUCACAGCAGGAGCACUCCCUCACAGCAGGAACUCUCCCUCACAGCAGGAGCACCUCCUUUUUGUUUUGUGGUUGUUGAUUUUGUCUGGUUUUGGAUAUCUGUCUUACAGGUUGUUUUGGGAAUCUGUCUUACAGGUUGACAUCAAAUUCAUAAUCCUCCUGCCUCAGGCUCCCAAGUGUUGCAGGUGUGCACUUCCAUGCCCAGCUGUAUGAUGUCUUUUCUUAUCCAAAACUGUUUUAUAAGAGGCCCAACAUAUGGCAUUUAAAACAAUCAACCUAUGUUUAUUUGAUUAAAUAUAGCAGUAGACUAACUGUGUCAUUUAUUGGAUUCAAGGUGGAUGAAAAUUUUUUAAAAAAUUAGAUAAAACAUAUAGUACAAACUGUUUCUCAAAAUGAUUUUGUAGUCUCUUCCUUGUUUUAUUGCUACCUAUAUUCAGUUUACAAAAGUAUUUCAGCACCGAACCAUGGUGUGGAUGCAAGUGCCCGCAGUGCCCAGAAGAGGGUGUCUGAUACUCUUGGACCGAGUUAGAGGUGUGGUGAGCUGCCCUCCAUGGGUAAUGGGAACCAACCUCAAGUCCUCAGUAAAAGAGUAUGCACUCGUAGCCACUAAGGCAUCUCCACAGCCCCUUGUCCUUUUGAAACUCUGAGGAUUUGUCUUCAGUUCUCUUCCCUACAGCAGUUAUUGCCGCUGCCAUUACUGUUCCCAGACAUGAAAGUUUCACUGUCUAGCUUCUUACUCUUGGUACUCCUGGUACUCCUGGUAUUGUCUUUGAAUACUCACUAUGCCUUCACCACCAAAUACUAUUAAUAAUUAUU